GGGGCACGGGGGGCCUACGGGAGGCAGCAGUGGGGAAUAUUGCACAAUGGGCGAAAGCCUGAUGCAGCCAUGCCGCGUGUAUGAAGAAGGCCUUCGGGUUGUAAAGUACUUUCAGUUGUGAGGAAGGGGGUAGGGUUAAUAGCGCUAUGUCUUGACGUUAGCAACAGAAGAAGCACCGGCUAACUCCGUGCCAGCAGCCGCGGUAAUACGGAGGGUGCGAGCGUUAAUCGGAAUUACUGGGCGUAAAGCGCAUGCAGGUGGUUCAUUAAGUCAGAUGUGAAAGCCCGGGGCUCAACCUCGGAACUGCAUUUGAAACUGGUGAACUAGAGUACUGUAGAGGGGGGUAGAAUUUCAGGUGUAGCGGUGAAAUGCGUAGAGAUCUGAAGGAAUACCAGUGGCGAAGGCGGCCCCCUGGACAGAUACUGACACUCAGAUGCGAAAGCGUGGGGAGCAAACAGGAUUAGAUACCCUGGUAGUCCACGCCGUAAACGAUGUCAUACUUGGAGGUUGUGGCCUUGAGCCGUGGCUGUCGGAGCUAACGCGUUAAGUAGACCCGCCUUGGGAUGACC
RNAcentral lists this ribosomal RNA (569 nucleotides) under uncultured bacterium. RNAcentral's name for it is "bacterial SSU rRNA". It matches the Rfam family "Bacterial small subunit ribosomal RNA", at positions 321 to 884 of the family's 1533-position model. The record is from RNAcentral.